Molecule: non-coding RNA, 830 nt
Organism: Danio rerio (zebrafish)
Lineage: Eukaryota; Metazoa; Chordata; Actinopteri; Cypriniformes; Danionidae
Source: RefSeq, a predicted model, not a curated record
UGCAGCCUGAAGUGGUGCCCUCUAACCCUGUAAGAGCAGCAGAAGUUGUGGUAAGGAGAACUGUGAGAAGUACGGCGGGUCAGCAUUCUAACCUGCACCACCUCCCACGAGCUGUAGGUACAGGGACAGUGUCCAGUAUAGCGACUAACCCUUUUGGUACAUUCUUUCGCCCUUGGAAUUAGGCUCUUCGAUUAAUGAUAUGUUUAGUUCACCGUCGGGGCGACGUUGCAGAAAUUGGGGGUGGAAUGUGAUGGUGUAGUGCAGCUGAUUGGCAUUGACAUCGGCCAAUCGGCACGUAGCACCGCCUUUUUAAACCUGAUUGGUCGGUGCUUGGGAUACGUCACGUCCGACUCCGACGCACUGGUUUGGGUGUCUGUAGCCGCGGCUACAGUGCAUCGUGUGGCGGUGGCUUUUCCCUUGGCUGUGGUGGCUGGAUGACUGUUCAGUUGCAGCUAUUAAUUCCGGCACCUCGCUGUAUUGUAUCGACCAACGAGUGAUUUAGAACGUGUCUGAGUGUGCGCCCAUUGGAACUGAGGUUUCCCCCGGUGGAUGACGGGUCACUUUCCACUGGUGGUGGUGUUUCUCUAUCGUGUGCUGUGGACACUGAGUGCGUGAUAGCGUGAUUUUUGAGUGCACUGUGGUGUGUGCGUGUGCUGGGGUAAAGUCUGUCCACUCGUACCCAGUCAGUGGGAACCUCCAAUCCUGGUUUGGUUUUGUUUAUUUAUUGUUUCUUGUGUUUAAUAAUGAAGUGGGAGUUUUUGAUGUAUUUUUAAGAACCGUACCAUUUGGUAGUUUUAUUCCAAAUAAAUAUUUUUGUACUUUUUCAUUAA